Molecule: long non-coding RNA, 1408 nt
Filed under: Ananas comosus (pineapple)
Lineage: Eukaryota; Viridiplantae; Streptophyta; Magnoliopsida; Poales; Bromeliaceae
Description: long non-coding RNA (ACOM_LNC007089)
Source: RNAcentral
GCUACAGCAAAAGACUAACUAGACCUAAGUAUAUGUGUUAGGGUUAGUCGAGCAUGUUUGACUUCCACUCUAGGUAUAUGUGCUAGAGCAAAAGACUGACUAGACCCUAAGUAUAUGGGUUUGGGUUAGUCGACCAUGGUUUGACUUCCACUCUAGGUAUAUGUGCUAGAGCAAAAGGCUGACUAGACCCUAAGUAUAUGUGUUAGGGUUAGUCGGAUGAACUCUAAGUAUAUAUGUCAGAGUUCGAAUAAACUUGCUAUCAUUUGACUGAAUUCUAAGUAUAUGACUUAGAACUCUGUCGAUUUGGAGAUGUUUUGCCUUAGUUAUAUGUGCUAAGGCGAUUGACUUAGCCCUAAGUAUAUGUAUUAGGGGUAGUCGAUAUUUAAUUUUUACUCUAGGUAUAUGUGCCAGAGUAAAAAAAGGUUCACGAUGAGAUUUGGGUAUUGGUUCAUGAGAUUUGAGUAUUGGCUCAUGAGAUUUGGUUCAUGAAUUUGGUGUAUGGACUUGGUUCAUGAACUUGGAUAUGGUUCAUAGAUUUGGUGUAUGGACUUGGUUCAUGAACUUGGAUAUGGUUCAUGGAUUUGGUGUAUGGAUUUGAUUCAUGAACUUGGAUAUGGUUCAUGGAUUUGGUGUAUGGAUUUUAUUCAUGAACUUGGAUAUGGUUCAUAGAUUUGGUGUAUGGAUUUGGUUCAUGAACUUGGAUAUGGUUCAUGAAUUUGGUGUACGGACUUGGUUCAUGGUUCAAGAAAUUUGGGUUUAGUUUAACGACUUUUCGGUCGUUUGGAUUUGGGUUUAGUUUAACGACUUUUCGGUCGUUUGAAAUUUGGGUUUAGUUUAACGACUUUUCGGUCGUUUGAAAUUUGGAUUUAGUUUACCGACUUUUCGGUUGUUUGAAAUCGAGAUGUUCAUGAAGCUGAUUCAUGAAAUUAAUUCAUGCUAGGAGCCCAUUUGUAAAGUCCAUUGAAUUAAUUGAUGAAAUUAAUUCAUGAUAGGGGCCAUUUGGAGAGCCCAUUGAAUUAAUUCAUGAUAAGGAGCCAUUUGGAGGGCCCAUUAAUUCAUGAAAUUAAUCUAUGACAAGGAGGGCUCAUAAAAUUAAUUCAUAGAAUUAAUCCGUGAUAAAGGGCCUAUUUGGCAAACCCAUGAAAUUAAUUUGUCAAAUUAAUUUGUCGAAUUAAUUCAUGAUAGAGGGGCCUUUGGAAAGCUCAGGAAGUUAAUUCAUAGAAUUAAUUCAUAAUAAAUGGCCCAUUUGGAAAGCCCAUGAAUUCGGUUUAGGUUGGAGGUAUUUGGAUGACAUAGGUUUGGUAGGUUUGAUUGGGUUUUAUUUAUGGACUUUGGAUUUUGGAUCUUUGGUUUUUGGAUAUUUAUUUGUGGACUUUGGAUUUUUUGGGAUUUUGUUUGUGGGCUUUUU